Molecule: ribosomal RNA, 253 nt
Filed under: uncultured bacterium
Lineage: Bacteria
Description: partial 16S ribosomal RNA
Rfam family: Bacterial small subunit ribosomal RNA
Source: RNAcentral
UACGGGGGGGGCAAGCGUUGUUCGGAAUUACUGGGCGUAAAGCGCGCGUAGGCGGCUCUUCAAGUCGGGUGUGAAAGCUCCAGGCUUAACCUGGGAAUUGCGCUUGAUACUGUUGAGCUAGAGUGUGGAAGGGGCUACUGGAAUUCCGUGUGUAGCGGUGAAAUGCGUAGAUAUCUGGAGGAAUACCGGUGGCGAAGGCGGCAUCCUGGACCGGCAUUGACGCUGAGGAGCGAAAGCCAGGGGAGCAAACGGG